RNAcentral lists this ribosomal RNA (466 nucleotides) under uncultured bacterium. RNAcentral's name for it is "partial 16S ribosomal RNA". It matches the Rfam family "Bacterial small subunit ribosomal RNA", at positions 28 to 507 of the family's 1533-position model. The record is from RNAcentral.
GAUGAACGCUGGCGGCGUGCUUAACACAUGCAAGUCGAACGGAAAGGCUCCUGCCUGCAGGGGUACUCGAGUGGCGAACGGGUGAGUAACACGUGGGUGAUCUGCCCUGUACUUCGGGAUAAGCUUGGGAAACUGGGUCUAAUACCGGAUAUGACAAUCUCUUGGAUGGGGUUGUGGAAAGCUUUUGCGGUAUGGGAUGAGCUCGCGGCCUAUCAGCUUGUUGGUGGGGUAAUGGCCCACCAAGGCGUCGACGGGUAGCCGGCCUGAGAGGGUGUACGGCCACAUUGGGACUGAGAUACGGCCCAGACUCCUACGGGAGGCAGCAGUGGGGAAUAUUGCACAAUGGGCGCAAGCCUGAUGCAGCGACGCCGCGUGGGGGAUGACGGCCUUCGGGUUGUAAACUCCUUUCGCAACCGACGAAGCUUUUGUGACGGUAGGUUGAGAAGAAGCACCGGCUAACUACGUG